RNAcentral lists this ribosomal RNA (348 nucleotides) under uncultured bacterium. RNAcentral's name for it is "bacterial SSU rRNA". It matches the Rfam family "Bacterial small subunit ribosomal RNA", at positions 396 to 736 of the family's 1533-position model. The record is from RNAcentral.
GCCGCGUGAGUGAAGAAGGUCUUAGGAUUGUAAAGCUCUGUCCUUAGGGAAGAACCGUGGGUAUAGAAAAUGAUACCCACCUGACGGUACCUUUGGAGGAAGCACUGGCUAACUACGUGCCAGCAGCCGCGGUAAUACGUAGAGUGCAAGCGUUGUCCGGAAUUAUUGGGCGUAAAGGGUACGCAGGCGGAUAAUCAAGUCAAGCGUGAAAGGUGUCGGCUUAACCGACAGACUGCGUUUGAAACUGGUUAUCUUGAGUGUAACAGAGGAGAGUGGAAUUCCUAGUGUAGUGGUGAAAUACGUAGAUAUUAGGAAGAACACCAGUGGCGAAGGCGACUCUCUGGGUUA